AUUGAACGCUGGCGGCAGGCCUAACACAUGCAAGUCGAACGAGGGGCGGAAGGGUGAGUAAUGUCUGGGAAACAGCCCGAUGGAGGGGGAUAACAACUGGAAACGGUAGCUAAUACAGCAUACCAUCGGAGGUGCCCAGAGGGGAUUAGCUAGUAGGUGGGGUAACGCCUCACCAAGGCGACGGUCCCUAGCUGGGCUGAGAGGAUGACCAGCCAACCUGGAACUGAGCCACGGUCCCGCCUCCUCCGGGAGGCAACAGUGGGGAAUAUUGCACUAUGGGCGCAAGCCUGAUGCAGCCAUGCCGCUGGUAUGAAGAAGGCCUUCGGGUUGUAGAGUACUUUCAGCGUGGAGGCGUUACCCGCAGAAGACGCACCGGCUAACUCCGUGCCAGCCGCCGCGGUAAUAC
This 406-nucleotide ribosomal RNA is filed under the name uncultured bacterium. Its description in RNAcentral is "partial 16S ribosomal RNA". It matches the Rfam family "Bacterial small subunit ribosomal RNA", at positions 29 to 526 of the family's 1533-position model. The record is from RNAcentral.